Anguilla rostrata (American eel) is the source of this 291-nucleotide long non-coding RNA. RefSeq lists it as uncharacterized. The record is from RefSeq and is a predicted model, not a curated record. Lineage: Eukaryota; Metazoa; Chordata; Actinopteri; Anguilliformes; Anguillidae. The transcript has 3 exons.
AAAAUAUAUUAAAUAGUUAAAUAUUUGUUAUUUCCACCUGCAAACAAGUGUGUGUGUGUGUGUGUGAGUGAGUGUGUGAAUGAGUGUCUGCAUGUGAGUGUGUGUGUAAAGAUGUGUGUGCUGUUGUGUGUGCAUGUGAGAGAGUGUGUGUGUGUGUGAGAGUGAAUGAGUGUGUGUGUGUGAGAGAGAGUGAAUGAGAGUGUGUGUCGUAGUGUGUGUGUGUGUGUGUGUGUGAAUGAGUAAGUGUGUGUGCAUGUGAGAGAGAGUGUGUGUGCGUGUGUGUGUGUGUGU